CUGGAUUCAUCAUUUUGUAUUGGAGAAAUUGUGUCGUUCAUAUCUAAAAAGAGUGAAAAAGUGUUGAAGUAUAAAAUAGUGAAAAUUUGAAAAAGUAAAAUUUUUCUUUUUGUUUAGUUAAAAUGAAGUGUUGUUAUAAUUUUUGUAAAAAGAGAAGCGUUUUUUCAUGGCUGGUUUGCCAAAAUAAUUUGAAAAAUUAUUGAAGGUAUAAAAUGCAUUGGGAAAAUAUCUUGAAAGAAAAAUCGAGAUCUACAUGAGAGCUGGGCGUAUAAUAAAAUUCGGCAAGCGAGGCUAAUUUCGAAGAGUCUAGAAUAUUCCUGCAGAAUUCUCUGAGAAGGGAGGACGUGAAUUUUUCAGAAGUGAGGCAAAAGGGUCUUUAAAUUAGAAAGAAAAAAAAUAGCAUUUGUUUGGGCAGCGUUAUUGAUUUGCAUUUCUGUAUCAUAUGUAACUAAAUACGUAAUUGAAAGCAACGUAAAACGUUUAUUGCAAAGCUAAAAUGGAACGCGUACCUAUGUGGGGAAAACGUAACGUAACUGUUUUUCCUUUUUUGAGAAAAAGCCUAUGAUUGAUAUGAUAAACAACACCACAACAACUGACAAUAUUCAGUAUAAAACUGAAUAGCUAAGAUCUUUAAUCUAAGACAAACAAUGCGAGAUAUGAUGAUGAGAAAUAUCGAAACACAGGCAGUCAGACAGGUCUUGCCAAAAAAAAAAAAAAAAAAAACAGUCCAUGAGUAUCAGUCAGGCAGGCAAACUCUCAGUCAGUCUUUUAAGGCGAUUAUAUAGAGGCCUUGUCUGGUAACCAAUAAACGUAUCUAUAGAAGGCAGCCCAAGUACAAAACAGAAAAUCUUAAAGAAUUUUUUUUGUUUGAUCUGUCGAUGACAAAUACAUCUUUAACAAGUACAACCACGACGACAAAUUAAGCGUGUAUGGGUUAACCGUAUAAUGGUUGCGUGUAAUUGAUUAUUCAUCGAUUAAUGAUGAUAUAUAAUUAGAGCGACGGCGGCAUUUUCUGUUAACGUUAAAUUUGUACUAAACACUAAAUUAAAUUAAAAAGCAGCAGGGAAAACUCGUACUAAACAUUAAAUUUAAGAAUUCGUUUUUCUUUAUUUGAUUUUUUUCGAUUUGUGGUCUUUUGUUUACCUUCUUAAAAAUCCCCCUUUUUUUUUAAUUUAUCGAGAAUCCUCACCGUUUUGCUAAAAAUUAUUUAAAAAAGUUCGUAACAAAAUAUAUGAAAUAAAUAUUCAGAUCUUUUUCUAACAACUCUUGAAAACGUCUUUAAUUUAUUAAAAAAAAAAAAAAAAAAAAAAAAAGACGCCGCAACUUUGAAUUAUUUUAUGAAACAAAUUCAUAAUACAAAAACAUAAUGUGAGUACAGUUAAAUUUAAAAAAAAAAAAUAUUCCUUUUAAAACCAUUUAAAUGAUAAUUUCACCCCUACAAAAAACAAUAGCGUAAGAAGGGUUAAAAUAUUUCAAAAAAUAAUUAAAGCUUACACACACAACAUUAUAGGAUAUGAAAUGGUCGAAAUAAAAUGUCAUCGAAAAGAGAAUCGUCGGUCUUGACAGGGCUGAUGUAAGAAAAAUAUACAUUGAACAGAAAAAGAAAAACAGCGUCACUUGUAAAAAAAUAAAAAAUAAAAAA
Glossina fuscipes is the source of this 1642-nucleotide long non-coding RNA. RefSeq lists it as uncharacterized. The transcript has 2 exons. The record is from RefSeq and is a predicted model, not a curated record. Lineage: Eukaryota; Metazoa; Arthropoda; Insecta; Diptera; Glossinidae.